This 72-nucleotide transfer RNA is filed under the name Talaromyces marneffei ATCC 18224. RNAcentral describes it as "tRNA-Arg (TCG) (tRNA-Arg-TCG-1-1)". It matches the Rfam family "tRNA". From Rfam's summary of the family: Transfer RNA (tRNA) molecules are approximately 80 nucleotides in length. Their secondary structure includes four short double-helical elements and three loops (D, anti-codon, and T loops). Lineage: Eukaryota; Fungi; Ascomycota; Eurotiomycetes; Eurotiales; Trichocomaceae. The record is from RNAcentral.
GGCCGCCUAGCGCAAUGGUAGCGCGUUGGUUUUCGGCACCAAAGGUUGUGGAUUCGAGUCCCACGGUGGUCG